This 820-nucleotide ribosomal RNA is filed under the name uncultured bacterium. RNAcentral describes it as "bacterial SSU rRNA". It matches the Rfam family "Bacterial small subunit ribosomal RNA", at positions 681 to 1503 of the family's 1533-position model. The record is from RNAcentral.
GUGGAAUGCGUAGAGAUCGAUCGGAACGCCAAGGGUGAAGACAACCCGCUGGGGCUUUCCUGACGCUGAGGCACGAAAGCGUGGGGAUCAAACAGGAUUAGAUACCGUGGUAGUCCACGCCCUAAACGAUGCACACUAGAUCGGUGCCGGUUUCACCCGGUAUUGGUCGUAGAGAAAUUGAUAAGUGUGCCGCCUGGGGAGUACGGUCGCAAGGCUAAAACUCAAAGAAAUUGACGGGGGCUCACACAAGCGGUGGAGCAUGUUGCUUAAUUCGAAGCAACGCGAAGAACCUUACCUGGGUUUGACAUGCACGGAUUAGUUCCUGGAAACAGGAAUGAGGCCCGCAAGGGUACAACGUGCACAGGUGCUGCAUGGCUGUCGUCAGCUCGUGCUGUGAAGUGUUUGGUUAAGUCCAUUAACGAGCGCAACCCCUGUCGCUAGUUGCUAACGGGUAAUGCCGAGGACUCUAGCGAGACUGCCGCUGUAAAGCGGAGGAAGGUGGGGAUGACGUCAAGUCCUCAUGGCCCUUACAUCCAGGGUUGCAAACGUGCUACAAUGGCGCGCACAAAGCGACGCGAGGCCGCAAGGCGGAGCAAAUCGCAAAAAACGCGCCCCAGUUCGGAUUGAAGGCUGCAACCCGCCUUCAUGAAGUUGGAAUCGCUAGUAAUCGGAGAUCAGCUACGCUCCGGUGAAUAAGUUCCUGAGCCUUGUACACACCGCCCGUCAAGUCAUGGGAGCCGGUAGCGCCCGAAGCCGCCACAGCACUGUGGUGUCUACGGCAAGAUCGGUGACUGGGACUAAGUCGUAACAAGGUAACCGU